GGUCGAUUAGCUCAGUUGGUUAGAGCGUGGUGCUAAUAACGCCAAGGUGUAAGUUAACGACAGACUCCGUCACAUGGAAAGCAAUCUAACAUUCAUAAUAGCGCGGGUUCGACCCCCGUAUUGACCA
Transfer RNA from Verruconis gallopava, 127 nucleotides. It matches the Rfam family "tRNA". Rfam says of the family: Transfer RNA (tRNA) molecules are approximately 80 nucleotides in length. Their secondary structure includes four short double-helical elements and three loops (D, anti-codon, and T loops). Further hydrogen bonds mediate the characteristic L-shaped molecular structure. tRNAs have two regions of fundamental functional importance: the anti-codon, which is responsible for specific mRNA codon recognition, and the 3' end, to which the tRNAs corresponding amino acid is attached (by aminoacyl-tRNA synthetases). tRNAs cope with the degeneracy of the genetic code in two manners: having more than one tRNA (with a specific anti-codon) for a particular amino acid; and 'wobble' base-pairing, i.e. permitting non-standard base-pairing at the 3rd anti-codon position. The record is from Rfam. Lineage: Eukaryota; Fungi; Ascomycota; Dothideomycetes; Venturiales; Sympoventuriaceae.